This 16-nucleotide small RNA is filed under the name Arabidopsis thaliana (thale cress). RNAcentral's name for it is "ATSL286210". Lineage: Eukaryota; Viridiplantae; Streptophyta; Magnoliopsida; Brassicales; Brassicaceae. The record is from RNAcentral.
UUUUGGCUUUUUUUUU